UACGAAGGGGGCUAGCGUUGUUCGGAAUUACUGGGCGUAAAGGGCGCGUAGGCUGUGCUGUAAGUCAGGCGUGAAAGGCCCGGGCUCAACCUGGGAAUGGCGCUUGAUACUGCGGCGCUGGAAGGUGGGAGAGGAUGGCGGAAUUCCCAGUGUAGAGGUGAAAUUCGUAGAUAUUGGGAAGAACACCAGUGGCGAAGGCGAGUUUCUGGACAGUUACUGACGCUGAGGCACGAAGGCCAGGGGAGCAAACGGG
This 253-nucleotide ribosomal RNA is filed under the name uncultured bacterium. Its description in RNAcentral is "partial 16S ribosomal RNA". It matches the Rfam family "Bacterial small subunit ribosomal RNA", at positions 524 to 776 of the family's 1533-position model. The record is from RNAcentral.